Molecule: small nucleolar RNA, 139 nt
Organism: Corylus avellana
Lineage: Eukaryota; Viridiplantae; Streptophyta; Magnoliopsida; Fagales; Betulaceae
Product: small nucleolar RNA Z247
Source: RefSeq, a predicted model, not a curated record
CCUCUUGAGGACUCUGAUAUUGUCUCCUACAUCCUUAAUGGACUUGGUGUUGAUUAUGAUUCUCUUGUCAUCUCAAUCACCACGCGAUCUGAUUUCAUUUCCUUGAAUGAUCUCUAUGGAUUUCUGAUGAGCGCCGAAU